ACUCCGUGAUCUGCUGCGGGCAGAUGUAGUGGACGUGCGCGUCGAUCGCGCCCGCGGUGAGGAUGAGCUUCUCGCCUGCGAUUGCCUCGGUUGAGGAGCCCACGACGAGCGCGGGGUCCACGCCGUCCAUGACGUCUGGGUUUCCCGCCUUGCCGAUGCCGACGAUGAGGCCGUCCUUGACUCCGACGUCGGCCUGUGGGAUGGGUCAGUGGGCGUGCGAGGGUAGCUGACGUUGGAACGGCGCGCCUUGUAGAUGCCCGACCAGUCAACGAUGAGGGCAUUUGUGAUCACAAGAUCGAGGGUCUCUGACGCAGACCGAUUCGUAGCUUGGCCCAUGCCCUCGCGAAU
RNAcentral lists this small RNA (348 nucleotides) under Phlebiopsis gigantea 11061_1 CR5-6. RNAcentral describes it as "5' ureB small RNA". It matches the Rfam family "5' ureB small RNA". Lineage: Eukaryota; Fungi; Basidiomycota; Agaricomycetes; Polyporales; Phanerochaetaceae. The record is from Rfam by way of RNAcentral.